GAUGAACGCUGGCGGCGUGCCUAAUACACGCAAGUCGAGCGAACGGACGAGAAGCUUGCUUUUCUGAUGUUAGCGGCGGACGGGUGAGUAACACGUGGAUAACCUACCUAUAAGACUGGGAUAACUUCGGGAAACCGGAGCUAAUACCGGAUAAUAUUUUGAACCGCAUGGUUCAAAAGUGAAAGACGGUCUUGCUGUCACUUAUAGAUGGAUCCGCGCUGCAUUAGCUAGUUGGUAAGGUAACGGCUUACCAAGGCAACGAUGCAUAGCCGACCUGAGAGGGUGAUCGGCCACACUGGAACUGAGACACGGUCCAGACUCCUACGGGAGGCAGCAGUAGGGAAUCUUCCGCAAUGGGCGAAAGCCUGACGGAGCAACGCCGCGUGAGUGAUGAAGGUCUUCGGAUCGUAAAACUCUGUUAUUAGGGAAGAACAUAUGUGUAAGUAACUGUGCACAUCUUGACGGUACCUAAUCAGAAAGCCACGGCUAACUACGUG
RNAcentral lists this ribosomal RNA (497 nucleotides) under uncultured bacterium. RNAcentral describes it as "partial 16S ribosomal RNA". It matches the Rfam family "Bacterial small subunit ribosomal RNA", at positions 28 to 507 of the family's 1533-position model. The record is from RNAcentral.